Long non-coding RNA from Gasterosteus aculeatus aculeatus (three-spined stickleback), 488 nucleotides. Lineage: Eukaryota; Metazoa; Chordata; Actinopteri; Perciformes; Gasterosteidae. The record is from Ensembl.
AGAGCUUGUAACUUCCAAAUCGCCUGUGCUGCCGACGGCAUUUCCAUGCCGCUGCACCCGGGCUUAUGGCUCCUGGAGGGAUGAUCGGAGUCUCGGAGAAUGCCCGCGGUGGUGACUUAGUUUUCAGUAGUUGAGGUGAGGAUUUAAGGAUACCUCCGUGCUUCACACACCUAAUUCCCGUGAGCGGUGAAGCCAGCGGCGCAGGAUAACGCGGGGGCCAUUACGCACGCGAGGCUUCUUGUACAUUACCAGGACCAAUAGAGCGUGCUCGUAUCUCAUUCCGGCAAAAACUCCCCAGCUCACACAUUUCACCGAUGGUGCUGAAUCGAUGGUCCUCCGUCUCCGUUCCGAGACGUUGAAUUGUUCGGUUGACAUUCUUUUUUUAGGAGGUAAAUCCCCUCAGGAGCCAAUAGGCCGCCUAUCAGACGUCUUGAGCCUGUGUUGCUUCUCCAAGGGUGAUGGGAAGUGGGGGAAGCAGCGAUCACGGC